GGGUGACGGGAAUCAGGGAUGUCAGUGAUUAUCGACGAGUCUGGUGCUUCCGUUUCUUUCACAGUGAGAGUCUGCAAAACCGAAGAGAGCGAGAGAUGGGUAUAAAGAUUGGAGGGCAAAUAGAGAAGGUGAAUGGUAAAGAACUGGGCUAUAAUGAGUUCGUUGAAAGAUAUUUAGCAAAGAACCAACCAGUAGUGCUAACGGGUCUCAUGGACGAUUGGAGAGCAUGCAAAGAUUGGGUCACUGAUAGUGGCCAUCCCAAUCUUCAAUUCUUCUCUACCCAUUUUGGCAAAUCCAAAGUUCAGGUUGCGGAUUGUGGGACUAGAGAAUUCACGGAUCAGAAGAGAGUAGAAAUGACGGUUUCAGAGUUUAUUGACCAUUGGGUUGAAGGUAAUAGGAACUCCCUGCUAUAUUUGAAGGACUGGCAUUUUGUAAAGGAAUACCCAGAAUAUGUAGCAUACGGAACCCCACUACUUUUUUGUGAUGAUUGGCUUAACCUGUAUCUCGACCAUCAUCGCAUGCAUAAGGAUCCUGACACUAAUCAAGAAAAUGACGACAUAAGUUGCUCUGACGACAUAAGUUGCUCUGACUAUCGUUUUGUUUAUAUGGGAGCAAAAGGAUCUUGGACUCCUCUUCAUGCAGAUGUUUUCAGGUCAUACAGUUGGUCAGCGAAUGUUUGUGGGAAGAAGAAAUGGCUUUUUCUGUCUCCUUCCCAAUGUCAUCUUGUAUUUGACAGGCAUGCCUAUGACUGGUUGUCUUUAUGAUAAUUAGAUGUUCUAAGAAGUGAACAUAUCGUGUUGCGAGUGGAAUGAAGUCCCUUGUCUUAAUAAUGUUUUGCCCUUAAAAGAAAAAAGAAGAUUCAUUUACGGUACCAGAUGAAAUUGAAACACAACAAAGAAACAUCAAGCUUCCUUUGUUAGUGCAAAAUGGUUCACACCUUGUAAUUCUCCUUUUUAUCCAACUAUCAACUAUUUCCAUGAACUUAUUUUGAUUUUGAUAUGCAAUCAAACUGGCAACAUUGGGCUUUCUGUGAUCUUCUCUUUCAUUAUUUGCUUUUGGUAAAUCUGUGUCCUUUUUAUAUUCCUAUUUAGCUGCCACAACAAUCGCAAACUAAUAUUUAGCCCAUUGUUUGUACAGAUCUUUCUAUGUCAGUAAUGACAAGAAUCCCUUUGUUAACUUGCUUCUCCAUUUUGAUCCAGGAACUUGAAGAGCACAGUUUAUAACAUUUUUGACGAUGUUAGUGAAACAAAAUUUCCAGGUUUUAAGAAGGCUAUCUGGUUGGAAUGCAUUCAGGAUCAAAAUGAAAUUAUCUUUGUGCCUAGUGGAUGGUAUCACCAAGUUCACAAUCUGGUAUCAUGCAUUCUUUUUUCUGUUUCAUUUUUGUUUAUGAAGAUAAACAAAUAUGAUAUUGUCACCCUCUUCCUAUGAAGUUGUUUCGUACUUAAAAAGGAAUCUAGUUGCUUUUUCGCCCUUCUAAAUGCAAGUGAGAUUUGUGAACUGCGCUGCUGAAGCUCAUUUGCAGAUGCUCUUUUUGCAGUAUUCUAUUUUUUUUCCUUUUUAUAUUUAUAUAAGCCAUAAUGUUUUCAGGAAGAUACAAUAUCAAUAAACCACAAUUGGUUCAAUGCAUACAACCUUUCUUGGGUGGUAAGUAGAGUCUAUUAAUUCAUGAACAAAGUCAUACAUUUGAAUAAACUUAGGGAAGCCAAGCAUGUGUAUGUUCUCAUUACUUCAGUGGGACUUGCUUUGGAGAGACUACAAGGAGGCAAAGGAGUACAUUGAAGACAUUAGG
This 1789-nucleotide unclassified non-coding RNA is filed under the name Hevea brasiliensis (rubber tree). Lineage: Eukaryota; Viridiplantae; Streptophyta; Magnoliopsida; Malpighiales; Euphorbiaceae. The record is from RNAcentral.